AUUAAACGCUGGCGGCAUGCCUUACACAUGCAAGUCGAACGGCAGCACGGGGGCAACCCUGGUGGCGAGUGGCGGACGGGUGAGUAACACAUCGGAACGUGCCCUGGAGUGGGGGAUAACGCAGCGAAAGCUACGCUAAUACCGCAUAUUCUGUGAGCAGGAAAGCAGGGGAUCGCAAGACCUUGCGCUUUGGGAGCGGCCGAUGUCGGAUUAGCUAGUUGGUGGGGUAAAGGCUUACCAAGGCGACGAUCCGUAGCGGGUCUGAGAGGAUGAUCCGCCACACUGGGACUGAGACACGGCCCAGACUCCUACGGGGGGCAGCAGUGGGGAAUUUUGGACAAUGGGCGGAAGCCUGAUCCAGCCAUGCCGCGUGAGUGAAGAAGGCC
RNAcentral lists this ribosomal RNA (386 nucleotides) under uncultured bacterium. Its description in RNAcentral is "bacterial SSU rRNA". It matches the Rfam family "Bacterial small subunit ribosomal RNA", at positions 29 to 416 of the family's 1533-position model. The record is from RNAcentral.